Molecule: ribosomal RNA, 421 nt
Filed under: uncultured bacterium
Lineage: Bacteria
Description: bacterial SSU rRNA
Rfam family: Bacterial small subunit ribosomal RNA
Source: RNAcentral
GUACGCUGGCGGCACGCCUAACACAUGCAAGUCGAACGAAGUAGCAAUACUUAGUGGCAGACGGGUGAGUAACAUGUAGGUAUCUACCCUAUGGCCUGGAAUAACACGAGGAAACUUGUGCUAAUACUGGAUAAGUCUUUACGGAGAAAGCUUUAUGCACCAUUGGAUGAGCCUGCACUUGAUUAGUUUGUUGGUGGGGUAAUGGCCUACCAAGACUGUGAUCAAUAGCUGAUUUGAGAGGAUGAUCAGCCACAUUGGGACUGAGACACGGCCCAAACUCCUACGGGAGGCAGCAGUGGGGAAUCUUGCACAAUGGAGGAAACUCUGAUGCAGCGAUGCCGCGUGAGUGAAGAAGGCCUUUGGGUUGUAAAGCUCUUUCGUCGGGGAAGAAAAUGACUGUACCCGAAUAAGAAGGUCCGGC